Molecule: transfer RNA, 73 nt
Filed under: Candidatus Woesearchaeota archaeon
Lineage: Archaea; Nanobdellati; Candidatus Woesearchaeota
Description: tRNA-Thr
Rfam family: tRNA
About the family: Transfer RNA (tRNA) molecules are approximately 80 nucleotides in length. Their secondary structure includes four short double-helical elements and three loops (D, anti-codon, and T loops). Further hydrogen bonds mediate the characteristic L-shaped molecular structure. tRNAs have two regions of fundamental functional importance: the anti-codon, which is responsible for specific mRNA codon recognition, and the 3' end, to which the tRNAs corresponding amino acid is attached (by aminoacyl-tRNA synthetases). tRNAs cope with the degeneracy of the genetic code in two manners: having more than one tRNA (with a specific anti-codon) for a particular amino acid; and 'wobble' base-pairing, i.e. permitting non-standard base-pairing at the 3rd anti-codon position.
Source: RNAcentral
GCCCUCGUGGCUCAGUUGGUAGAGCGUUACAUUGGUAAUGUAGAGGUCCCGAGUUCAAGUCUCGGCGAGGGCU